Molecule: ribosomal RNA, 504 nt
Filed under: uncultured bacterium
Lineage: Bacteria
Description: partial 16S ribosomal RNA
Rfam family: Bacterial small subunit ribosomal RNA
Source: RNAcentral
GUUGAACGCUGGCGGCAGGCCUAACACAUGCAAGUCGAACGGUAGCACAGAGAGCUUGCUCUCGGGUGACGAGUGGCGGACGGGUGAGUAAUGUCUGGGAAACUGCCCGAUGGAGGGGGAUAACUACUGGAAGCGGUAGCUAAUACCGCAUAACGUCGCAAGACCAAAGUGGGGGACCUUCGGGCCUCACACCAUCGGAUGUGCCCAGAUGGGAUUAGCUAGUAGGUGGGGUAAUGGCUCACCUAGGCGACGAUCCCUAGCUGGUCUGAGAGGAUGACCAGCCACCCUGGAACGGAGACACGGUCCAGACUCCUACGGGGGGCAGCAGUGGGGAAUAUUGCACAAUGGGCGCAAGCCUGAUGCAGCCAUGCCGCGGGUAUGAAGAAGGCCUUCGGGUUGUAAAGUACUUUCAGCGGGGAGGAAGGCGGUGAAGUUAAUAACUUCACCGAUUGACGUUACCCGCAGAAGAAGCACCGGCUAACUCCGUGCCAGCCGCCGCGGUAA